UAUGGAGCCACCAUGUGAUCCCUGCAAGAGAAGACACCUGCAGCUGGUGUCCGAUAAGAUGAGUUUUUAUGGUUGAAACUUAAGACUGAGCUAGCAAAAAUCUGACUGAUGGUGUUUCUGCCCUCAAGAGGUCUAUCGUGCCCUUGGGAAGGUCUCCAGUCACUUGCCAAGAUGGUGCCUACAAUAGCCAGCUUAAAUUCCCACAGUACACCAAAGGCCCAAGUGAAGACAAGGAAUCCCCUUCCUUCGAGACAUCCUUCUUUUCUUGGUCAGGAACCCAGGUUCCUGAGAGUCUGCAGAGUCACCUCCCCCAGUCUUUACUGUAACACAUCUUCCCUGAUGACCUUCUGGUGUGGAAAUCCAGCUAGAAAUGAGAGCACUAACAGUUUUUUGCUGGGUGGUGGUGGCGCACACCUUUAAUCCCAGCACUCGGGAGGCAGAGGCAGGCAGAUCUCUGUGAGCUCGAGACCAGCCUGGUCUAUAAGAGCUAUUUCCAGGAUAGCCUCCAAAGCCACAGAGAAACCCUGUCUCAAAAAACCCAAAAAGCAAAAACAAAGAUAAAACAAAGCCACACACCCACCUGGGUUCUUGUGGCUUCUGCAGAAGCAGAUGGUUUCUGGUGGCCUCCCACGUGUGAAACAAACACUUGGUCACCUGUGCCCCUCUCGAACAUCUACCCCAGAUGAUCUUUCCUCAUUUUCCUAGUAUUAUUCUCACUGUCUCCAGUCUCUGGUGCAGUGUACAAACCCAGUGGCUUCUGGCUUGGAGACCGUCUGUAUAUGUCAUGUACACAGGCACGGGGAUAUUAAAUGUGCAGUGAUCCUCUUGUGUCCUCUAUCUGCAGAGGGUGAAGGGGCAAGCAGAACAGGGGGAGAGUGGAGACACGAGGAGACUGCCUUCACGCCCUUAAGUUUAGUGUAAUGCAUACCUUCAUUGUCAGCCAACUGCAUUUAAAAUAACCUAGCAGAGACAUCUUUGAGUUGUCUGGUUGUCAUUUCUACAGAGAUUUACUUUGGCGGGAAGACCCACCCUGUGCAUAGUGGUAUCAUCCAAUGGGCUGGCAUCCUGAAGUGAAUAAAAAGGGAAGAAGGAGAAAGCAAGAAUUCACCUCUCUCUGCUUAGUGACUGUAGAAACAAUAGGAAUAACUACCCCAUUCUCCAGCUGUAUUCUUCCCCCACCAUAACAAACUGUAUCCCUUUUACCUCAAUGGAUCGUUCCUGAAUUGCUUCAGUCAGGGAUCUUGAAACAUCAACAAGAAAAAGUAGCUAAUACAAGUGCCAGUCUCUGUGAUUCGUUUGGGGAUAGAACAUUCCUGCUGACUCACUCUAUUAGCUAAACGAUGGGGGCAGAUACACAAAUUCCCGAAGCGUCCUUCCUAUCCUAAUAGAUUCUACACCACAGGUCACAGAACCAACAAUGGGCCUCUGCCAACAUUAUAGCCUAUCUAUCCAUCUCAGAUAUACUUUCAGGAGACUCGACAGGUGACCCCAGCUUGGCUGCAUGAACCCACAGGACCCUCUGUGAGUCAGCAUUGGCCCAGUUAGACUUGUUCUUCUACCUUCCUCUGUAGACUGUCCCUUUGACCCGAGUGAUUUGGCUUCAACCUCACAUGAGCUCAGAAUUCGUGUUUGUCUGGAGCCUUUUGUACUUACCUUUCACUGCUCUCCAGAAAAUAAGUAUAUGGCCUAUACUGGGGUGUAUAAAAUGAUAUUUACUGUGUAUAUUUAUGGUGCAUCCUUGUGGGAUUUCAUUAACCUUCUGCCUACAGGGGCUGUAAGAAAUGAGAGUCCAUAGGUUAGAAGGCUCCUGCCUCCAGGGUUUUGUUGUAGCAGACUGAAUGAAUGGAUAAGGACAUCUUUAACACAGAGAGAAACAAUGGCGCUCUUCUGCCACACAGGAACAUCAGAAGAACAUUGAAAUGUCACAUUCUCCAACCUGUGUACUCCCAUGUUCAGGGGCCUGCUUUACACCAAUAGAGCAUUCAUCUUGUCUACUGCAUUAUUCUGUAAAGAGAUAUAAGCCUGACUUCCAGAACAGACUUCAUGUGACUGAAUGAGAUGAGAAUCUCCUUUUCAGCAGCAACUCCUUUCCCGAACAGCUUGAAAACCAAAGUCCCCCACAUAGCAUUGGUUCUCACCAUGUAGAUGCUUUGAAACUUGGGUCCCAGGACACACAUCCUUGCUCCUGAUGAGACUAAUCCAAUUGGAAGCAUCAUUCGACCAAGAGACUGUCUAUGGUAGAGGCUUGUGACCAGCUGGGAUAUUUUGGGGGUUUCUCUGUCCAGAAAGAAAGACAGAAGGUGAGAAUUGGGUUGGUACAGAACAACUCAAGCAGGCAUAGGCUAAUAUAUAAUCCUGUCUAUCAGAGUAACCAUCAUCAUAGCAACAUCCUAUAACUUCAAGUCUACUCAGUGGUCAGAGGGUUGGUUGGUUAUUGCUGUUGCUUUCUUUAAACAUGUCCUUGUGGUUGAGCAGGAGAUGAUAGAUAGAUAGAUAGAUAGAUAGAUAGAUAGAUAGAUAGGCCAUGAAUUAGGCAGCAUGUGAUGGGAUGUUCAUAUGGAAAGAGCUGGAGAGAUGAAAGACAUUGGGGAAAAUAGUGGAAUUGAUUUACAAUUUAAUUCCAUUUUAAUCAAAAAACUUAAGAGUACAACAAAGAUCCUUUAAUCAAGAGAGGCUUAGAACUGAAUCAGGACGGAUGGAAAAUGUUGUGAUGAGUGGGGAGGCACACAGAAACCUUAUCUGCAGCCUCUCUAUAGACUGCUGGAAGGAAAGCAACCUGAAGGGCAUGCACACAACUUGGAGGAAAAAUACAUAAUAACUAUGGCAAAACCCAAAGAUGAUGGUGACUUUCAGGCAUGGCUUGCCAAUCUGUGCCAGUUGAGCAUGAAGCUGAAUAUUGAAACUGAGCUCCUGUAGGUCUGGGAAGAUGGAGGAGAUGGAGCCCUUCUUCUACUACUGUUUGGAAAUACACAGUGGUGGGCUGAGUUUACUCUGGAAACAAAGCAACAUUCACCAGGAGUGAACCUGGAGCAGUUUCUGCCCCUUGACAGGGCCAGAGUUUGAACAGCUGGUUCUCUCUGCUGGGCUCCAGAAGGGGGUUGUGCUUCUGUUGUCCAAGCACAAAGUGUGAUUCAUGGACCACACACCAAACCACAAUCAGGGCUGUGAUGCUGCUACUCAAGGGAGCACAGAAUGCAUGUGCCAUGCAUGACUGGAAAGAUCACUUUCCAGUGAACACACCCCUGCCAGCAGAGCAAUCACGGAAGGACAAUAAUAACUCAGAGCUCGGGGUCGUCUGGAUCUUGACUAGACUACACCAGAGUACCACUGAUCUAUUGCAGGGAAGAGGUUCUUGGUUUGGCUACAGAUGGAGAAAACAGGUUCUGAAGCUCCCUCUUGCAUCUCCUCCAAGCUGGGAUAAGCACUGAUUGACUCAGGGACUUCACGUGUUUCAGCCACUUUCACACUUUCCAUCUCAAGCUUGAAUACAGUUGACAGAGGGAGCACUAAUUAGUUAAUCAGAGCUGUUAAAAGAAUUCCAUACAUGUAUAAGACCAAGCAAAUGAAGAAAGGAGGAGGAGGAGGAGGAGGAGGAGGAGGAGGAGGAGGAGGAGGAGAAGAAGAAGAAGAAGAAGAAGAAGAAGAAGAAGAAGAAGAAGAAGAAGAAGAAGAAGAAGCUAUCAAUUUGAGAGUGGGGGUAUAGAAGGGGUGGGUGAGAGGGAGGAGAGGAAAGGAAGAAAGUGAUGUAAUUCUAUUUCAAUUAAAAACAUUGUUUUUUUUUUUAAAGAAUCAGGAUGUUUUAAAAAUAUGAAGACACUAAGCCCACAAUAUUUUUAAAGGAAUAAAUUAGUGAAAAGAGGGCAGGCUCCUUACUCAGAAUCACAGCAUAGCUUGAAACACAGGAGAGUGAUCCACAGGCCGUCAUUGCAGAAUUCACUUCCUCCCCCGGGAAUUUGAUCAGUCUGAUUUUUGCAGACCUGAAAUACUCCAGGUUAUGUGCACUGGGCCUUCCUGGCCACAGCCUAUACCAGAUCUACAUCCUAAAUUCUCAGACUCCAUUGCCUUUGAAUAUUUUCACAACAAAGAGGGACAUCAAGUAGUAUAAACCAAAUAAUGCAGCUUCUGAGACCUCAAAAUGCAGCUUGGAUAAUUUAUGAUUUGUAUGGUAAUUUAUUUAAACAUCCUUCCUGCUAGACAAAUAAAUUGUUUUCAGAGUGGUUUCUAUUACAAAAAAUAAUACGGUGUGCUUAUAUAAGCAUGUAUGUUUAUCUUAAAAAAAUUUUUUUUUAAACUGGGAGCAAAAUAUCCUGGGGAAUAGUGGAAGUUUGAGAGACUGGUCCGGGCAGAUGGCACCACACUUCUACAGGCUUGCAUAGCACUUAAUAUCCCUUCCACACGGAUGCACUUUGCUUGCUCUGAAAACUUAAUUAAUGUUGUUGAUCAAUUAAUUGCAAGCAAGAGGGGAGGCAAAAAGCCUUGAGAAUGUCUGAAAUGCUGUUCUAGUAUGCCACAUUUACAUAUUACUCACACAGCAGGCACAGUUGAGGUGCCUCGAGUAAUAUUUGAGAACACAGUUAUGUACAUUGAAAGAAAAAAAAUUUAAAGGGCUUUAUAGGUCAAGAGGAGGCUAUUAAACAGAUUUCACAGAUUACUAAGUGACAGCGUUAGGAGUAGCAGAUGUGUAUUGGACUUACGUGGAACUUUUUAUUUAAUGUAAUUUAUUAAAUAUUAAAUAUAAC
This 4739-nucleotide long non-coding RNA is filed under the name Cricetulus griseus (Chinese hamster). RNAcentral's name for it is "lncRNA (ENSCGRG00015034745.1)". Lineage: Eukaryota; Metazoa; Chordata; Mammalia; Rodentia; Cricetidae. The record is from RNAcentral.